UGGGGAAUAUUGGACAAUGGGGGGAACCCUGAUCCAGCAAUACCGCGUGUGUGAAGAAGGCCUUCGGGUUGUAAAGCACUUUGGGCGGGGAAGAAGUUAUGCUGUUUAAGAGAUGGUGUAAUUGACGGUACCCGCAGAACAAGCACCGGCUAACUCUGUGCCAGCAGCCGCGGUAAUACAGAGGGUGCGAGCGUUAAUCGGAAUUACUGGGCGUAAAGGGCGCGUAGGCGGUUGGAGAAGUGAGAUGUGAAAUCCCUGGGCUUAACCUGGGAACUGCAUCUUAAACUGACUGGCUGGAGUACUGUAGAGGACAGUGGAAUUUCCGGUGUAGCGGUGAAAUGCGUAGAGAUCGGAAGGAACAUCAGUGGCGAAGGCGACUGUCUGGACAGAUACUGACGCUGAGGCGCGAAAGCGUGGGGAGCAAACAGG
RNAcentral lists this ribosomal RNA (429 nucleotides) under uncultured bacterium. RNAcentral's name for it is "bacterial SSU rRNA". It matches the Rfam family "Bacterial small subunit ribosomal RNA", at positions 355 to 776 of the family's 1533-position model. The record is from RNAcentral.